ACGAAAGACGGUUGUUUCCGAGCACUGCAUGCUAAGCUAUCUGUCCUUAGGUUCUCCGUCCUAGGUACAUGAACAAUUUCUGAGUUGAAAAAACUUCUUCUCAAAAGCUUAAUAUCUUCCAGGUAGCUUUCAAAUGCUAGUCAUUCUUCUGGUUCCGAAACCAUCUUCACCAAUUGAGAAAUAAUCUGUUGCAAACGUAACCUGAAAGUGUCUUAAAUUCUUCAUGCAUUUCAUUGCCCAAAUUAACACCACCAUCUCUGAAUGAAAAGGUGAUAAACAUGCUCUUACAUUCAUUGCCCUUAAUAAACCAUCAAAAUCCGGUAACGUGCUAAACCGGCCACCUAGGAGAUACAAGCGACCAGAAGGACUUUUGGCAUGAAACCAAUUUUCACAGAAGGCUAACUAAACAAUUCAUCACUGAGGCUUGGAAUUACAAGAAAAUCUUCAAGGAUGAAUAAGUUAUGGAUUUUACAAACUGAAGGUUUCCCAUCCCGUCCAGUUCCGAGUAUCAGCCAUUAGAAGUGGAUUUCAACCCAGCCAUGAAG
This 545-nucleotide long non-coding RNA is filed under the name Brassica napus (rape). RNAcentral's name for it is "long non-coding RNA (BNAP_LNC021764)". Lineage: Eukaryota; Viridiplantae; Streptophyta; Magnoliopsida; Brassicales; Brassicaceae. The record is from RNAcentral.